RNAcentral lists this ribosomal RNA (246 nucleotides) under Triticum aestivum (bread wheat). Its description in RNAcentral is "partial small subunit ribosomal RNA". Lineage: Eukaryota; Viridiplantae; Streptophyta; Magnoliopsida; Poales; Poaceae. The record is from RNAcentral.
GUGUCUGUCAUCCUGAGUUCUGCUUCCUCAAGAAUUUUAUUACAUGGCACCCAUGGUCUGCCCUUCAGGCAUAUGUGUGGCCUUAGACAGGGCGACCCCUUGUCCCCGAUGUUGUUCAUUCUCACCAUGGAUCCGCUUCGGAAACUGUUGGAUCUUGCAACGGAAGGCAGUGUUCUAACUAAGCUGUGACCUAAGGCAGCCAGAUUUCGUACAAGUAUGUACGCUGAUGAUGCGGCCCUGUUUUAA